GAUGAACGCUGGCGGCGUGCCUAAUACAUGCAAGUCGAGCGGACAGAUGCUGAGCUUGCUCCUCUGACGUUAGCGGCGGACGGGUGAGUAACACGUGUAUACCCUACCUAUAAGACUGGGAUAACUUCGGGAAACCGGCGCUAAUACCGGAUAAUAUAUUGAACCGCAUGGUUCAAUAGUGAAAGACGGUUUUGCUGUCACUUAUAGAUGGUUCUGCGCCGCAUUAGAUAGUUGGUAAGGUAACGGCUUACCAAGGCAACGAUGCGUAGCCGAACUGAUAGGGUGAUAGGCCACACUGGAGGUGAGACAGCGACCAUGCUCCUACGGGAGGCAGCAGUAGGGUAUCUGACGCAGUGGGGGAGAGCCUGACGGAGCGACGCCGAGUGAGUGACGGAGGUCUUCGGUUCGUAAUACUCUGUUAUUAGGGAAGAACAAAUGUGUAAGUAACUGUGCACGGAUUGACGGUACCUAAUCAGAAAGCCACGGCUAACUACGUG
Molecule: ribosomal RNA, 497 nt
Filed under: uncultured bacterium
Lineage: Bacteria
Description: partial 16S ribosomal RNA
Rfam family: Bacterial small subunit ribosomal RNA
Source: RNAcentral